AAAAAAUUGAAUUUUGGGGUCAAUUUUAGGCUUUUUUCGCUCCAUAAAAUUGAAUUUUGGGGCCAUUUGUUAGGCUUUUUUUCCCCAAAAAAUUGAAUUUUGAGGCCAUUUUCUAGGCUAUUUUUCCUCAAAAAACCCGAAUUUUGGGGCCGUUUUCAGACUUUUUUCCCUCCAAAAAUAUUGAAUUUUGGGGCCAUUUUUUUGGCUUUUUUUCCACAAAAAAUUCGAAUUUUGGGGCCAUUUUUGCACCUAUUCCCACCGGAAUUUUAAACUCCCCGAUUCCACUGAUUUCACCCCAAAUUGUUUUUCUCCCUCCAUGCUCAGACCCGUGCCCCGCCCCGCUGCUGUGGGCGGAGCCUCCCUCGGGCGUGGUCACCGCCGGUCACCGGCUCCGCCUCACUUGCUCCGCCCCCCCGCGCCGCUUCCGGCGCCGCUUCCGCUUCUUCCGCGACGGUGCCGAGCUGGCCGCUGACGUCAUCGGUGACGUCAUCAGUGACGUCGCCGGUGACGUCGCCAGGGACGGGUCAGAGUUGCUGUUCCCGCGGAUUUCGCCGGAAUUUUCCGGGAAUUUCAGCUGCCGCCUGGAGGAGGAAGUGGGCGGGCCUGGGUGGAGGCCCCGCCAGCCAAGGCGUGGCCGUGGUGGUGGUGGGGGUUUUCCCGCCCCCAGCGGAGUUCGAGUUCCUCCCAUUGGUCAUCGGUGGCGUCGUGGGUGUGGCCUUGCUGCUGCUGGCGAUCCCAUUGGCUGUUUGGCUGUGCCGGAGGAGGAGGGGUCAGUUGGGGGGAGGGGAAAGGUUGGACCCCAAAAUGUCCCCAAAUCUCCAAUUUUAACCCCAAAAUUUUCCUGGUCAGGCCAGAAUUGGAGAAAUUUGCCCAAAAUCACCGAUUUUAUCCCAAAUUUCUCUAAUUUAGAUCCAAAUUUGGCCAUUCUGACCCCAAAUUUCCCUUUUUGGACCCCAAAUUUCCCAUAUUUAUCCAAAUUUCCCCAUUUCAGUAAAAAAAAAGACCGUUUGGAGCCCAAAUUUCCCAUUUGGACCCCAAAUUUCACCAUUUUACUCCAGGAUUGACCCUUUGGACCCCAAAUUUCCCAUUUUGACCCCAAAGUUGUCCCCAAAGUGCCCAUUUGGACCCAAAUCAUCCGCAAAUCUCCCAUUUCAACCCCAAUUCCUCCAUUUGACCCCAAAAAUGUCCUUUUUGACCCCAAAUUCACCCCUUUUAGCCCAAAAUUGACCAUUUUGCCCCAAAACUCUCCAAUUUCCCCCAACUCCCCCAUUUUUAACCAAAAAAUUUCAAUUUUACCCCAAAAUCGGCCAUUUUGACCCCAAACUUACAAUUUUAGCCCCAUUUUGAUCCAAAUCUCCCAAUUUUUAUUUAAAAAAAUUUAAUAUUAUCCCCUCAAAGUUAC
RNAcentral lists this long non-coding RNA (1402 nucleotides) under Serinus canaria (Common canary). RNAcentral's name for it is "lncRNA (ENSSCAG00000007855.1)". The record is from RNAcentral. Lineage: Eukaryota; Metazoa; Chordata; Aves; Passeriformes; Fringillidae.